GUGAACGCUGGCGGUAGGCCUAACACAUGCAAGUCGAUCGGCAGCACAGUAAGAGCUUGCUCUUACGGGUGGCGAGUGGCGGACGGGUGAGGAAUACAUCGGAAUCUACUUUUUCGUGGGGGAUAACGUAGGGAAACUUACGCUAAUACCGCAUACGACCUACGGGUGAAAGCAGGGGAUCUUCGGACCUUGCGCGAUUGAAUGAGCCGAUGUCGGAUUAGCUAGUUGGCGGGGUAAAGGCCCACCAAGGCGACGAUCCGUAGCUGGUCUGAGAGGAUGAUCAGCCACACUGGAACUGAGACACGGUCCAGACUCCUACGGGAGGCAGCAGUGGGGAAUAUUGGACAAUGGGCGCAAGCCUGAUCCAGCCAUACCGCGUGGGUGAAGAAGGCCUUCGGGUUGUAAAGCCCUUUUGUUGGGAAAGAAAAGCAGCAGGUUAAUACCCCGCUGUUCUGACGGUACCCAAAGAAUAAGCACCGGCUAACUUCGUG
RNAcentral lists this ribosomal RNA (491 nucleotides) under uncultured bacterium. RNAcentral describes it as "partial 16S ribosomal RNA". It matches the Rfam family "Bacterial small subunit ribosomal RNA", at positions 29 to 507 of the family's 1533-position model. The record is from RNAcentral.